RNAcentral lists this transfer RNA (63 nucleotides) under Cumberlandia monodonta. Its description in RNAcentral is "tRNA-His". Lineage: Eukaryota; Metazoa; Mollusca; Bivalvia; Unionida; Margaritiferidae. The record is from RNAcentral.
GACGAAGUAGUUUAAGUAAAAAUAGCAGGGUGUGGUUCUGUUGAUAGUUGUACCUCUUCGUUA